Molecule: long non-coding RNA, 743 nt
Filed under: Homo sapiens (human)
Lineage: Eukaryota; Metazoa; Chordata; Mammalia; Primates; Hominidae
Description: HSALNT0369659
Source: RNAcentral
AUCCAUCUAAGCCUGGGAUAGAGGAGGAUUUCAGAAGCUUGUACAUAAAUAGAAGUGGCAAACUUAAUUCAUAAUCUGACUCCCAAAUUUGCAAUUAUUAACCUCUAGGUUUUCAGACACUCAAGACAAAACAAAAAAAUGCACAUUUAAAACAACAUACAACUAUAAGUUCAUCUACAGUGAACAUGUGAUAACUUCAGUUCUCUACAGACAGAAUCCUAGGAAACUUCAAUUCUCAGGGAUAAACACAGAAGGCAAAAUCUUGGAAGAGAUAAAUAGAAGGACUAACCAGAAAGUUGUGAAGGAAACCAAGAGAGAGUUGCAUUGAAAACCCAAGGGAGUAGAAAAUAUCAACAGAAGCUGAGUGCCAAGAAGUACAAUAAAUUAAAGGCAAAAUUUGAAUGGCAAGAGGUUAUGGCAGAAUAAAGAGACUUAAGAGAGAAUGGAGGGAAAAUUGAUAAAGCAAAAGGAAUCAAGCUGAAAAUUCACAAAGAUAGAAGAAGAAUGAAGUUCAAAAUACAAAUGCCUGGGUUGGCUUUGGACAAAAGAAGCACUACUUCAUUUGAAGUUGGGCAGCAACAGGAAUAGAAUAUUCCAGACAGGAGCUGUUCCUUUAACCUGGAUCACAGAAUGGAAUUUCAAGUGAAGCAGACCUUUAGUCAACCCAUAGACCUACAGCGGAGCCACAGACAAAUCUCAGGCUUCAUACAUGAGAAAUAAAUUGAUGUUUAUUUGUGUAAACC